CUGAUAAGGGAGACUACGAAGCAACUAACUAAGUGGGCAUGAAGGAAGCCUCUCCACUGAAGGAAGCCUCUCCACUGUAUUUUCCAAGUCUAAAUGCAUGAGUAGUCUGCAGGAGCUGGGACUGGAUUUUCAGGCUUUCAGGAAACUAUUUCUUUUCACGAUGAGUUUCUGCUACACUAAUGCUCCAGAAAUCCUGUAGGACAGAGUACAUUUACUGCACCAGCUAGCAGCCCACUUGCAUUGCCAUGGACACACCUUAAGGAGCUGGAGAUGUGAGCUGCUGUGACUAAGAUUCGCACAAAACAUCAUGCAAGUGCAGAGACGAGCACAGGAUGGGUGGUACAAUAAGGAACGGUACUUAUACGGUGAUGAAUAACAUGUAGGUGAGUACAUAAGACACGCUGGAAGCAUUGCAGGAAUCUGAGGGUGGUGGUAAAAGCGUUGCCAAAAACCUGUCCUGGAAAAAAGCAUUUCAGGAUGGCAAGCCUUAAUGCAAGUUACCAGGUGCACGGAGGCCGUCUCUGUGAAAAAGCCUUCAGAAAGCCAAGAUGUGCAUAAAGGAGAAGCCAGCUUACACACAGGGAUGAGCAGGGGCCCGGUGGCGGAACAAGCCGCCAUGCUAUGAGUGUAAGGGUAGUGCUGCAAAGUAUUGUGGGAGCACACGCACAAAACUAACAAUCUUUAUAGUAGUUUUUGGGGAGGUAAAGAACACAUACAUGCAGCUAGCAUGCUAAAUAAAUGCUACCUAGAUACCCUAGAGCAUCACUCACGAUUGGCCACUAAGGAGGCUACGAUCAUGUGAAAAGAGUGGAACUCUACAGGAGAGUCUGUCCUCAGGCCAAAUGUGUACUGUAGCAUUUAGUUGGUGGCAAUAAUGAUAAUGAGGAGACGCACAGAGAGAACUCUCCAAUCACAUAAAGAG
Long non-coding RNA from Polypterus senegalus (gray bichir), 922 nucleotides. RefSeq lists it as uncharacterized. NCBI's taxonomy places the organism in Eukaryota, Metazoa, Chordata, Cladistia, Polypteriformes, Polypteridae. The record is from RefSeq and is a predicted model, not a curated record. The transcript is spliced from 4 exons.